UAAUGUAUGGGGAUCUGCCCGAUAGAGGGGAAUAACUACUGGAAACGGUGGCUAAUACCGCAUAAUGUCUACGGACCAAAGCAGGGGCUCUUCGGACCUUGCACUAUCGGAUGAACCCAUAUGGGAUUAGCUAGUAGGUGGGGUAAAGGCUCACCUAGGCGACGAUCUCUAGCUGGUCUGAGAGGAUGAUCAGCACAUGGGACUGAGACACGGCCCAG
This 218-nucleotide ribosomal RNA is filed under the name uncultured bacterium. RNAcentral's name for it is "partial 16S ribosomal RNA". It matches the Rfam family "Bacterial small subunit ribosomal RNA", at positions 111 to 334 of the family's 1533-position model. The record is from RNAcentral.